GACCGUUCUCAGGGCGGGGUGAGAUUCCCCACCGGCGGUAUGGAGACUUGUCUCCGAGCCCGCGAGCGCCUUCCACACAAUGGAAGGGUCAGCAGAUCCGGUGAGAGGCCGGAGCCGACGGUAUAGUCCGGAUGGAAGAGAGCAAGC
RNAcentral lists this non-coding RNA (147 nucleotides) under Agrobacterium radiobacter. RNAcentral describes it as "FMN sequence". It matches the Rfam family "FMN riboswitch aptamer (RFN element)". Rfam says of the family: The RFN element is a highly conserved domain that is found frequently in the 5'-untranslated regions of prokaryotic mRNAs that encode for flavin mononucleotide (FMN) biosynthesis and transport proteins. Lineage: Bacteria; Pseudomonadati; Pseudomonadota; Alphaproteobacteria; Hyphomicrobiales; Rhizobiaceae. The record is from RNAcentral.